UACGUAGGGUGCGAGCGUUGUCCGGAAUUAUUGGGCGUAAAGAACUCGUAGGCGGUGUGUCACGUCGGCCGUGAAAACCUGCAGCUUAACUGUGGGCGUGCGGUCGAUACGGGCAUCACUGGAGUUCGGCAGGGGAGACUGGAAUUCCUGGUGUAGCGGUGAAAUGCGCAGAUAUCAGGAGGAACACCGGUGGCGAAGGCGGGUCUCUGGGCCGAUACUGACGCUGAGGAGCGAAAGCGUGGGGAGCAAACAGG
RNAcentral lists this ribosomal RNA (254 nucleotides) under uncultured bacterium. Its description in RNAcentral is "partial 16S ribosomal RNA". It matches the Rfam family "Bacterial small subunit ribosomal RNA", at positions 524 to 776 of the family's 1533-position model. The record is from RNAcentral.